Molecule: long non-coding RNA, 1145 nt
Filed under: Oryzias javanicus (javanese ricefish)
Lineage: Eukaryota; Metazoa; Chordata; Actinopteri; Beloniformes; Adrianichthyidae
Description: lncRNA (ENSOJAG00000022294.1)
Source: RNAcentral
ACGUAGCAGAGGGUUAUCCUGGCAGUGAAGGGGGCCAUCUGUGCAGCCCAGAUUGAAAUGUAUUGGACCAUUUUUAGGUCAUGCUUGCCCAAUGGUGAAAGUGGAUUGGGGUAAAACUGUUCAAAUUCUCAGCUAUCCACCGGACCGUUCACCACUGCAGCAAUUAAAGAGAGGGCACAUCCGUGCGUGCUCCAGUCGAGCCCAUGGAGGAAGACGGCGGCACAGCCUCACGGCAGUCGUCCGUGAAGUCUUCUUGUAGCUCGGUGUUUCACAGCGAGCACGUGUGGCUGGAGGACAACCAGUCGUCUUCCAGUGCUCCCAGCAGCAGCCCUGGAGGCAGCCGGAGCAGCAGUGGCAGCCUGUGCAGCUGGAACUCGGGCGUUACGUGCCUCCUGCACAGCUCUAUCAAAAGACAGAGCCAGGAGGCUUUUCAAACUCGCCUGGAAGAGGGGAGUGGGUGGGGGAAACGUGUGCCAUGUGCUUACAAUGAUCCUCACGGCCAGGCUCAGGCAGAGCAGGGCGGGGGCAACCAUCACAACAGACCGCAUCAGGGGAGGGCCUCUAAACAACCCCGCACGGGCAGUAAAAGUGUGAAAGAGUUGCUAGAGGAAAGGUUCAAAGCGAAACUGAAGUUCUCCCAAUUCCUGGAUGAAGUAGCCUCGAAUGUGUUGGACCCCAAUUGCCUGCAAGCAUUUGGAAAGCCGCAAUCUCCUCCCGGCGAGUUCAUCACAAACUCGGAUCAGCCUGAAGAAGAAGAAGAAGAAGAAGCGGAGAGCUGGAGGCUGCAUGACUCAAUGGCCCUGCAGCAGAAUCACAUCUCUGAGCUGGAGGUUCCCAAAGCCAAAACCGCCCCUGACUGGCCGCAGAGGAAAUACCUGGAGACGGAUAUCGAUGCCGUGUGUGGGAAUGACGGGUUGUUGGAGACAGAUGAGACCAGUCUGAUUCCACCUCCUUUACAGUUCAGUCAAGGAUUCAAGAUGACAAAUCCCUCUCCUGACUGCCGUUGCGACUUUCCAAGACCCCCCUUCAGAUCUGCCUCUCUGCCCCGGGGCAUCAACGUGCUGCCUGAGGAGGAGAUGAACAGCAUAGACGCUAUCAGGGUCAACACAGAUAGAGCACUAAGUAAUUCUGCAGGCCACAUUUAA